UAAAUAUUUAUUCAUUCUACUACAUUAUACUUUUAUGUUGUCUUGUUUGCACAUUCUGCUUCUAUAUAAGGACCAUUGUUACAAAUACAA
Long non-coding RNA from Thalassophryne amazonica, 90 nucleotides. RefSeq lists it as uncharacterized. The transcript has 3 exons. The record is from RefSeq and is a predicted model, not a curated record. NCBI's taxonomy places the organism in Eukaryota, Metazoa, Chordata, Actinopteri, Batrachoidiformes, Batrachoididae.